RNAcentral lists this ribosomal RNA (484 nucleotides) under uncultured bacterium. RNAcentral describes it as "partial 16S ribosomal RNA". It matches the Rfam family "Bacterial small subunit ribosomal RNA", at positions 30 to 507 of the family's 1533-position model. The record is from RNAcentral.
AUCGAACGCUGGCGGCAGGCCUAACACUUGCAAGUCGAGCGGAUGAAGGGAGCUUGCUCCUGGAUCUAGAGGCGGACGGGUGAGUAAUGCCUAGGAAUCUGCCUGGUAGUGGGGGAUAACGUCUGGAAACGGGCGCUAAUACCGCAUACGACCUGAGGGUGAAAGAGGGGGAUCUUUGGACAGCUCGCUAUCAGAUGAGCCUAGGUCGGAUUAGCUAGCUGGUGGGGUAAAGGCCUACCAAGCCGACGAUCCGUAACUGGUCUGAGAGGAUGAUCAGUCACACUGGAACUGAGACACGGUCCAGACUCCUACGGGAGGCAGCAGUGGGGAAUGUUGGACAAUGGGCGGAAGCCUGAUCCAGCCAGGCCGCGUGUGUGGAGGAGGUCUUCGGAUUGUAAAGCACUUUAAGUGGGGAGGAAGGGCAGUAAGUUAAUACCUUGCUGUUUUGACGUUACCAACAGAAUAAGCACCGGCUAACUUCGUG